This is a non-coding RNA of Pelodiscus sinensis (Chinese soft-shelled turtle), 507 nucleotides long. Lineage: Eukaryota; Metazoa; Chordata; Testudines; Trionychidae. The record is from RefSeq and is a predicted model, not a curated record.
CUUCUGCUGAGUUGGUGUCAACAGUAUCUGCUCCCCACAAUUUUCAGGGAAGACCCAGGGAAGGCAUUGCUUCCCCUUGCUUCAGGUCUUUAGGGUUUUUGCCAUCUUGUUUUCUUGAUCGAGACAGAAGGAUGGUAUCAAGAUGAAUGUCUUUUUGGAUAACAGCCUGGAUGUGGGUUCCUGUUGAUUCAGCCAAUGCCACUUUGACCUCAUCUACACCGGGAAACUUGACAUGUCUUUAUAAGUUUGGACUUGGACCCUCAAGCUCAUUUCCUGGAGGCUGCCAAAAAUAAACAGCUUAAUAGAUCUUGUACCUAAGGAUCGCAAAAAGAAUUAGCCAAGGAAAUCCCUGGCCCACUGUCAUUAACAUUUAAUGAAUCUUGGAAUGGUGGGGAAAUUGCUGAAGAAUGGAAGAGUGCUAAAUGUUAUUCCAGUAUUCAAAGAUGACAAGGCAGAUGACCCCAGUAAUUAUAGGCCAAUUAGUUUGACAUAGAUUCCAGGCAAAGU